UACGUAGGGGGCUAGCGUUGUCCGGAAUCAUUGGGCGUAAAGAGCGUGUAGGCGGCCCGGUAAGUCCGCUGUGAAAGUCGGGGGCUCAACCCUCGAAUGCCGGUGGAUACUGUCGGGCUAGAGUGCGGAAGAGGCGAGUGGAAUUCCUGGUGUAGCGGUGAAAUGCGCAGAUAUUAGGAGGAACACCAAUUGCGAAGGCAGCUCGCUGGGACGUAACUGACGCUGAGACGCGAAAGCGUGGGGAGCAAACAGG
This 253-nucleotide ribosomal RNA is filed under the name uncultured bacterium. RNAcentral's name for it is "partial 16S ribosomal RNA". It matches the Rfam family "Bacterial small subunit ribosomal RNA", at positions 524 to 776 of the family's 1533-position model. The record is from RNAcentral.